RNAcentral lists this transfer RNA (75 nucleotides) under Candidatus Thorarchaeota archaeon. RNAcentral describes it as "tRNA-Arg". The stretch from base 10 to 72 matches the Rfam family "tRNA". Rfam says of the family: Transfer RNA (tRNA) molecules are approximately 80 nucleotides in length. Lineage: Archaea; Promethearchaeati; Candidatus Thorarchaeota. The record is from RNAcentral.
GGCUGCGGGAGGUGCGUAUAAGGCACUGGCUUGCGGAGCCAGGUAUCCCAGGUUCGAAUCCUGGCGCGCCCGCCA